This 498-nucleotide ribosomal RNA is filed under the name uncultured bacterium. RNAcentral's name for it is "partial 16S ribosomal RNA". It matches the Rfam family "Bacterial small subunit ribosomal RNA", at positions 899 to 1397 of the family's 1533-position model. The record is from RNAcentral.
ACUCAAAGGAAUUGACGGGGGCCCGCACAAGCGGUGGAGCAUGUGGUUUAAUUCGAUGCUACGCGAAGAACCUUACCUGGUUUUGACAUGCUUGGGAGCUUGCAGAGAUGUGAGUGUGCCUUCGGGAGCCAAGAGACAGGUGCUGCAUGGCUGUCGUCAGCUCGUGUCGUGAGAUGUUGGGUUAAGUCCCGUAACGAGCGCAACCCCUGUCCCUAGUUGCCAACGAGAGAGACGGGAACUCUAGGGAGACUGCCAGUGACAAGCUGGAGGAAGGUGGGGAUGAUGUCAAGUCAUCAUGGCCCUUAUGACCAGGGCUACACACGUGCUACAAUGGGCUGAACAAAGGGGAGCGAACCUGCGAAGGGGAGCGAAUCUCAAAAAACAGUUCGUAGUCCGGAUUGGAGUCUGCAACUCGACUCCAUGAAGUUGGAAUCGCUAGUAAUCGCGGAUCAGAAUGCCGCGGUGAAUACGUUCUCGGGCCUUGUACACACCGCCCGU